Molecule: ribosomal RNA, 504 nt
Filed under: uncultured marine eukaryote
Lineage: Eukaryota
Description: SSU rRNA
Rfam family: Eukaryotic small subunit ribosomal RNA
Source: RNAcentral
GGUUAAAAAGCUCGUAGUUGGAUUUCUGUUGAGGACGACCGGUCCGCACUAUGUGCGUGUAUCUGGUUCGGCCUUGGCAUCCUCUAGGGGAACGGUGCUGCGACUUGAUUGCGUGGUCCGGUAUUCUGGACUUUUACUUUGAGGAAAUUAGAGUGUUUACGGCAGGCAAUCGCCUUGAAUACAUUAGCAUGGAAUAAUACUAUAGGACUUUGGUUCUAUUUUGUUGGCUUCUAGAACUAAAGUAAUGAUAAAUAGGGAUAAUUGGGGGCAUUCGUAUUAACACGUCAGAGGUGAAAUUCUUGGAUUGUGUUACGACGAACUACUGCGAAAGCAUUUGCCAAGGAUGUUUUCAUUGAUCAAGAACGAAAGUGCGGGGAUCGAAGACGAUUAGAUACCCGUCGUAGUCUGCACCAUAAACUAUGCCCACUAGAGAUUGGAGGUCGUUCCUUUUUUAUGACUCCUUCCAGCACCUUAUGAGAAAUCAAAGUCUUUGGGUCCCGGGGG